UCACGCUGGAGACUGGACACUCUCAGUGUGGAGCACGGUGGAGUGUGCAGGCUGAAACCAGCUCUAAAGAAGUAUGCCUGUGAACUCACCCUGGACCCCAACACAGCCAGCAGACGACUCUCUCUGUCUGAGGACAACAGAAAGGCGACGCGGGUUGAAGAG
This is a long non-coding RNA of Gadus chalcogrammus (walleye pollock), 162 nucleotides long. RefSeq lists it as uncharacterized. Lineage: Eukaryota; Metazoa; Chordata; Actinopteri; Gadiformes; Gadidae. The record is from RefSeq and is a predicted model, not a curated record. The transcript is spliced from 3 exons.